GACGAACGCUGGCGGCGUGCUUAACACAUGCAAGUCGAACGAAGCGCUUAAACGGAUUUCUUCGGAAUGAAGUUUUUGCGACUGAGUCGGGCGCGGGUGAAGGUACGCGUAGGUAACCGUGCCUCAUACAGGGGAUAACAGUUAGAAAUGACUGCUAAUACCGCAUAAGCGCACAGUGCUGCAUGGCACAGUGUGAAAAACUCCGGUGGUAUGAGAUGGACCCGCGUCUGAUUAGGUAGUUGGUGGGGUAACGGCCUACCAAGCCGACGAUCAGUAGCCGACCUGAGAGGGUGACCGGCCACAUUGGGACUGAGACACGGCCCAA
Molecule: ribosomal RNA, 325 nt
Filed under: uncultured bacterium
Lineage: Bacteria
Description: bacterial SSU rRNA
Rfam family: Bacterial small subunit ribosomal RNA
Source: RNAcentral